RNAcentral lists this ribosomal RNA (801 nucleotides) under uncultured Fibrobacteres/Acidobacteria group bacterium. RNAcentral describes it as "bacterial SSU rRNA". It matches the Rfam family "Bacterial small subunit ribosomal RNA", at positions 84 to 866 of the family's 1533-position model. Lineage: Bacteria; Pseudomonadati. The record is from RNAcentral.
AUAAUAGUAAAGUGGCGAACGGGUGAGUAACGCGUAAAUAACUUGCCUUGGAGAUUGGGACAACAUUGGGAAACCAGUGCUAAUACCAAAUAAUGCAGCGGGCCCUUCGGGGCAUAGUUGUUAAAGUAGGCUUCGGCUUACACUUCAAGAUAGAUUUGCGUCCGAUUAGUUAGUUGGUAGGGUAAUAGCCUACCAAGACUGAGAUCGGUAGCUGGUCUGAGAGGAUGAUCAGCCACACUGGAAUUGAGAUACGGUCCAGACUCCUACGGGAGGCAGCAGUGAGGAAUUUUGCACAAUGGGCGAAAGCCUGAUGCAGCAACACCGCGUGAUUGAUGAAGUUUUUAGGAAUGUAAAAAUCUGUCGUAAGGGAAGAAAUGUUUCGGAUGUUAAUACCAUCUGUUACUGACGGUACCUUACAAGAAAGGACCGGCUAACUUCGUGCCAGCAGCCGCGGUAAUACGAGGGGUCCUAGCGUUGUCCGGAUUUACUGGGCGUAAAGGGUACGUAGGCGUUUUAAUAAGUUGUAUGUUAAAUAUCUUAGCUUAACUAAGAAAGUGCAUGCAAAACUGUUAAGAUAGAGUUUGAGAGAGGAACGCAGAAUUCAUGGUGGAGCGGUGACAUGCGUAGAUAUCAUGAGGAAAGUCAAAUGCGAAGGCAGCCUUCUGGCUCAAAACUGACGCUGAGGUACGAAAGCGUGGGGAGCGAACAGGAUUAGAUACCCUGGUAGUCCACGCCGUAAACGAUGAGUAUUUGGUGCUGGGGGAUUCGACCCUUUCAGUGCCGUAGCUAACGCGAUAAAUA